This 500-nucleotide ribosomal RNA is filed under the name uncultured bacterium. RNAcentral's name for it is "partial 16S ribosomal RNA". It matches the Rfam family "Bacterial small subunit ribosomal RNA", at positions 30 to 523 of the family's 1533-position model. The record is from RNAcentral.
AUUGAACGCUGGCGGCAUGCUUUACACAUGCAAGUCGAACGGUAACAGGGUGCUUGCACCGCUGACGAGUGGCGAACGGGUGAGUAAUGCGUCGGAACGUGCCGAGCAGUGGGGGAUAACGCAGCGAAAGUUGUGCUAAUACCGCAUACGUACUGAGGUAGAAAGUGGGGGACCUUCGGGCCUCACGCUAUUCGAGCGGCCGACGUCUGAUUAGCUAGUAGGUGGGGUAAAGGCUAACCUAGGCGACGAUCAGUAGCGGGUCUGAGAGGAUGAUCCGCCACACUGGGACUGAGACACGGCCCAGACUCCUACGGGAGGCAGCAGUGGGGAAUUUUGGACAAUGGGCGAAAGCCUGAUCCAGCCAUGCCGCGCGUCUGAAGAAGGCCUUCGGGUUGUAAAGGACUUUUGUCAGGGAGGAAAUCCCUAGUGCUAAUAACACUGGGGGAUGACGGUACCUGAAGAAUAAGCACCGGCUAACUACGUGCCAGCAGCCGCCGUAA